RNAcentral lists this ribosomal RNA (568 nucleotides) under Salmonella enterica. RNAcentral describes it as "partial 23S ribosomal RNA". It matches the Rfam family "Bacterial large subunit ribosomal RNA", at positions 1 to 599 of the family's 2925-position model. The record is from RNAcentral. Lineage: Bacteria; Pseudomonadati; Pseudomonadota; Gammaproteobacteria; Enterobacterales; Enterobacteriaceae.
GGGUUGUGAGGUUAAGCGACUAAGCGUACACGGUGGAUGCCCUGGCAGUCAGAGGCGAUGAAGGGCGUGCUAAUCUGCGAUAAGCGCCGGUAAGGUGAUAUGAACCGUUAUAACCGGCGAUACCCGAAUGGGGAAACCCAGUGUGAUUCGUCACACUAUCAUUAACUGAAUCCAUAGGUUAAUGAGGCGAACCGGGGGAACUGAAACAUCUAAGUACCCCGAGGAAAAGAAAUCAACCGAGAUUCCCCCAGUAGCGGCGAGCGAACGGGGAGGAGCCCAGAGCCUGAAUCAGCAUGUGUGUUAGUGGAAGCGUCUGGAAAGGCGCGCGAUACAGGGUGACAGCCCCGUACACAAAAGCGCAUGUGCUGUGAGCUCGAUGAGUAGGGCGGGACACGUGAUAUCCUGUCUGAAUAUGGGGGGACCAUCCUCCAAGGCUAAAUACUCCUGACUGACCGAUAGUGAACCAGUACCGUGAGGGAAAGGCGAAAAGAACCCCGGCGAGGGGAGUGAAAAAGAACCUGAAACCGUGUACGUACAAGCAGUGGGAGCACCCUUUUGGGUGUGACUG